This is a long non-coding RNA of Anolis carolinensis (green anole), 3518 nucleotides long. RefSeq lists it as uncharacterized. The transcript has 6 exons. Lineage: Eukaryota; Metazoa; Chordata; Lepidosauria; Squamata; Anolidae. The record is from RefSeq and is a predicted model, not a curated record.
GUGUUCUUACAAAUUCAGCUCUUUGACAUAAAAUUGAACUUUAACAUCUGUCGCUAGAAGGAAUUGGUUUCCCUUGAUUGCAUUAAAGUUAAUAAUUUGCCACUAGUACAUUUAAAACAAAUCUUCUUAUCAAUUGGUUCAACCUGUUAGUACUAUGUGUGCUGCAUAGUGUCUCUUAAAAGUUUUAGGCAAGCAAAAUAUUUGCAAGAACGUUACCCAACAGGUUGCAUUUGUUAAAUUACACAAAUAUGUUUUCAGUUCAUGAAAAGAUUCCAGGCAAAAAGUUUUCAAAUUUACAACUCUGUGGGAUAAACAUGUUAGGGAGAGGCAUUAUGAACUUGAAGCAGCUACUCAAAGUACCAGUUAGGAGCAAAAGGAUAGCUCCAGAGAGCAUGGGUGAUAUCCAGGAGUUCUGGAACUGCGGAGAAAGGCUCUUCUAGAUCUUAAAACAGAACUAGAAAAUUAAAACCUGAGAGAUAUGCAAUGAUAAGAGGGAAAAAGACAAGAAAACAACAAAUAAACCCAACUGAGACAGACAUUGAACAUGGGGGAAUUAAUGUUUGUUGCUACAAUCCCUUACUCUAGGGAGGAAGACUAUGGCAGAGUUUCCAUCCAUUCACCAGCCUAUGAUCUCAAUCUACCAAACGAUAAUACCCUGCUCUCCAAUGAUUUCAAGCCUACGUUUCAGACAUGGACUAGGAAAACUUGUGACAAUCUGAAGUCAGAGCUGCAACAACCAGGUGGAAGAAUGAGAAACUAUGGAUGCACUCAUCCAUGAAGUCUGCAUUGGAACGACUUGAGAAACUACAAGUUCCUCCUGGUGUGAGAAAAUUGACCGUCUGCAAGGAUGUUGCCCAGGGGACACCCAGAUGUUUGAUGUUUUACCAUCCUUGGUCAGCGAAGGAUAAGAGGGAUCCUCUCACCUCUGCAGGAGUCUACCAUGCAGCUGUGGACAAGUCUACAUAGGGAUCACCAAACGCAGCGCCCAAACACGAGUCAAAGAACAUGAAAGGCACUGCAGACUAACUCAACCAGAGAAAUCAGCCCUAGCAGAGCACUUGAUGAACCAACCUGGACACAGUAUAUUAUUUGAGAACACAGAAAUGCUUGACCACUCCAGCAAUUAUCAUGUCAGACUACACAGAGAAGCCAUUGAAAUUCACAAGCAUGUGGACAACUUCAACAGAAAGGAGGAAACCAUGAAAAUGAACAAAAUCUGGCUACCAGUAUUAAAAAAACUCAAAAAUCAUAACAGUAAAUAAGAAGCAACACUUUGAAAACAGAGUUCCAGACAUGAAUCAACCAAGGGCAGCUAACGAUUUUGAACAAAGGAUGCCCCCAGGCAGGAAGAAGCCAGGAGAUGAAGCUAUUCAAUGCUAAUUAAGGUGAUUAACUACAACAUUCACACUGGCCUCCAACUGACAAAGAGUUCUUCUCUCACCCUGGACUUUCCACAGAUCUAUAUAAACCUUCCUUGUUUAGUUUCUCCAUACCUCACAACCUCUGAGGAUGCCUGCCAUAGAUGUGGGCGAAACGUCAGGAGAGAAUACUUCUAGAACAUGACCAUACAGCCCGGAAAACAUACAACAACUAAAGACCUUCUUCUACUCAUUAGCAUAUGUAGAGGAGGAUUAAUUAAUGAGAUACCACUUCCAGAUCCUGAUUGAGAACUAUGCUGUAUCUGGCUUCUGUUAAUCAAUGUCAGGCCAUUUACCACCGUAGGCCACAUAAUCCAACCCACACAACUCUGUUGAACUUCAGUUGACUUUUGUAAAUUACUGUGAACAUUUAUUUAGAUUUAUGUCACUAUAUAAUUCUUGCCUGAUUCUGUCUGACUAUAUUGGUUUAAGUUACUGAUGUUAUACUCAAUUCAAUGAUGUUAGGUUUAAUUUGAUGUUAGGUUUUUAACUCUGUAUUCAUAUGUGGGGUUUUGUUGGGAUUUGUUGGCCCUAAGAUUCCAGCAGGACUGAAAUGUUUGGGGAGAGGUUCAGCACACCUGCAGCUCAGUUAAUGUAGCCCCAGCUGUUUGUAUUGAAUGAUCAGUCUCCCUAGACAAGGUAGGCAGCAAAUCCUCUCUGACUGCUGGAAACAAUAUUGGUUGUUCACUCUGUGAAAUACAUCAAGGCCAUCUUAGAAGCUCUGCCCUGUUUUUGAAUCCAAACUACUCUUCUGCAUGCCUCCCUUGUUAUUUUUGUCCCCCAGCUUCUGACUGAUAGCCUGGCUCUUGAUCUCUGGAUCUACUGACCAAUAAUCUGGCUCUGCUAAUCAAUCGCAUAGCUUCUCAGUUCCUCAAAUGAAUUGUGAGAACUAUGUGUUUUCUUGUGGUAAUGAAUUGUGAAGUCCCAAAGUACAAAUAGUGCUUAAAAAUUGCAUAGAAACACUAGUAAUCAGAAGAAGAAUAAGCACAGAUUUAUAUUCAUAAAGACCCACUUUCCAUGUAGGUGACAGAUCUUACAUGUCUUCAUAUAUAAAUACUAAAAAACAAAAAAACAAAUCCAAACCAUUGAUUAUACUCUUGCUCCAGAAUGCCCAACAUAGUUUACACAGAUAGUAGUCCCAACUUUUACUUUUGUUUUUUCUAGAAACAUAGUACCCAGAAGAGGGGGAAGACUGUAGGGUUGGAGAACAUUUAUCCUCCAAAUGUUUGGGAUUUUAGCUUCCUUAGUCUUUUGUCAUUGAUUUUGCUGGGUAAGACUGAUGGGAACUGAAGCCCCAAAGAUUUGGAGAGCUGUGGUAGCAUAAAUAGUAAUUAUAUACGGCAGUAUGAUCCUUAGUGCUAAUAAGAAUAGCUAUUAACUAAUUACAUCAGUAUGUCAUAUGGAAUUUGACUCCCUCUGUUUUCCCCACUUCAGAUUAUGUAGAAUCAAAGGGGAAAGUCACCUUGACUUUCCAAUCACAGGGAGAAAUGUGUUCUCCUGUUUAUCCUGACAGAAAAUCAGUGCACUCUGCAUUGCUCCAGCUAUCACAUGCACUGUGGCUUCAAAACUGUCCAGCAGGAGAUUGAUUUCUGCAAAUGGAAUCAGCCUCAUGGCAGAUGGAAGUCAUAUCUUCUAAACAGAAUCUCACUCCUCUGGGUAAGCGAUCCUUCUCACAUGUGAAAAAACACAUUAGCUUAGUGAGGACAGUGGGGAAUUGAAUCAUGACAUAAUCCAGGGAUAUUUUAUAGGAGCAGAGGAAGUUGCUGAGGCUAAUGGAUUGAUUGAUGAAGGCAGAGAAACCACAAAUGAAUAUAAGAUAUGUUCAAAUUAAAAGAAAAUUCAAUUCACAGACGGCAGCAGCAUUUAUAUCACAGUCAUGAUCUCACUGAAACAAGCAAAAGUCAGGAAGUCCUUCAAGCAGGAACAUUGCGUUUUGACUUUCACAUGCCUGUUCAGAGCAGAAAAAUAGACUUUGUGAAAAUGCAAUUAAAAACUGAUGUCUCCAUAUUAAAUUGCAUGCUAUAGUAUCCCAGAUCACUUACACAUGGAAUCUGAUAAAAAAAACAAGUUUAUAAUAAAUAAAAUUAUAAAACAGUAUGA